UGUCGUACAUUUCAGCAACGAAAUCUCAUUCAAACUGCGCAAUCAGUGCGCAGCUUUAACGCAACAAAAACUUUUGUGACCAAACACGGAAGUAGUUCAAAGAAACUCCCGCGUAGUUUUCAUUGUUUGGAUAAGCCAUGUGCGUUUGAUGGAGAUGCAGUGUUUACAACCGAAUGACUGCGAUGUCUAAACUAAAGAGGAAGAAAUCAGCGAUUGAGGAGAGUAGAUGCGAGCAGCAGACGACGAUCAAAAAGUCAAAUGGCAGUCUGAGUGCAGAACAGGAUAGCAGCUGCAGCAAAACUUCUAACGUUACAGGCAGGGCGAGAUGGUGGGAGAGUUCUGAAUUAAGUGAUGUGGAAAGACUCUGGGCUCUUACCUUGAGGGCUUUUUGCCCAGCCCUGCAGUCUGAUCAGGAAGAAUGUAUUCCACAGCUCCCCCCACCUUCAUCCACGAAAACUCCUGUACAAAAAGUAAGUGAUUGGAGAUGGUGCAGUGCAGAUGAAGAUGUUAAUCCCCCUCCGGAUUUGCCCGCUCCGUCUUUCCUCAACAACCCACAACCAGUGAAUGAGGUCAAGAACCCUUCACAACCUCCAGCAGCAGAGAACAUGGGAGAAUGUAGUCCACCAGCCAUCGCUGAUCAAGAGAAUCAUGCAUCUUCACCUGAUCAGGAGAGUGUGUCAGUAUGUGACGUACAAACUGCUCAGCAGCGCCACCUAGAAGACAAAGUCAAUUGCGUUGAGGGUCAUGAAUUGUCAGACGAACAGAGUGACAAAUUUGACCAAGUGGGGAAAGUCUCAGAAACGCAUAAAGUCACAAGAGGAUCUGGAGCAGGAUUGCAUGUGGAAUCUGGAGCAGGGAAGGGGGCAAAAGCAGGUGCAGGAGGAUCUGGAUCAUGGUUAAGAACAAUAUCUGAAGCAGAAGGAUUGGUAUCAGGCAUGGGAACAAAACAAGGAACAGGUGGAUCUGGAUCAGGGCAGAAAGCAAAAUCUGGAGCAGGUCAGCGAGCAAAAUCAGGAGUAAGAGGAUCUGGAUUGGUGCUGGGAGCAAAAUGUGGAGUGGGAUUGGAUGCAGAAUCUGGACCAGGGAAGGGGGUAAAAACAGGUGCAGGAGGAUCUGGAUCACGGCUAAGAACAAUAUCUGAAGCAGUUUCAAGCAUGGGAACAAAACACGGAGCAAGUGGAUCUGGAUCAGGGCAGAGAGCAAAAUCAGGGCUAGGAGGAUUUGAGUCAGGGCUGGGAACAAAUUCAAGAGAAAGUGGACCUGGAUUGGGGCAGGGAACAAAAUCUGGAUUGAAUUUGGGGAAAAAAUCAGGGACAGAAGAAUCUGGAGCAGCAUCUGGAUCAGGACUGGGAACAAAAUUAAUAGCAGAAGGAUCCGGAACAGCAACUGGUUCAGGACUGGGAACAAAAUCAGGAGCAGAAGGAUCUAGAGCAGCAUCUGGAUCAGAACUGGGAACAACAUCCGGAACAGAAGGAUCUGGAGCAGCAUCUGGAUCAGGACUGGGAACUAAAUUAAUAGCAGAAGGAUCCGGAACAGCAUCUGGAUCAGAACUGGGAACAACAUCUGGAACAGAAGGAACUGGAGCAGCAUCUGGAUCAGGACUGGAGUGCUGCCCAAUGUGUCUGAUGCCAUUUCCUGCAGGGUGAGUGAACAUUUCAUAUAAAUAGGUCAAAAAAUCCACAAAGUUCAUUGAUUUCACAAUGCAGAACCAAAGAUGACAACAAUAUCAAUAGCAUGUAAUGCUUAAACAACCCAAAAUAUCACAUUGCGUGUGACUGCCACGAAAUAUCCAAUGCAUAACAUCUACAAUAUCCCA
Long non-coding RNA from Sinocyclocheilus anshuiensis, 1816 nucleotides. Ensembl annotates it as putative per-hexamer repeat protein 5. The record is from Ensembl. NCBI's taxonomy places the organism in Eukaryota, Metazoa, Chordata, Actinopteri, Cypriniformes, Cyprinidae.